Long non-coding RNA from Dromiciops gliroides (monito del monte), 705 nucleotides. RefSeq lists it as uncharacterized. The transcript has 3 exons. The record is from RefSeq and is a predicted model, not a curated record. Lineage: Eukaryota; Metazoa; Chordata; Mammalia; Microbiotheria; Microbiotheriidae.
GGCCGCUGUCAGGGAGCGGCUUCAAGAGGAAUGGUGGGGGAGAGAUCUGGAAAUCAUUUUCAAGGAGGCUUCUGGAGACUCAUUGGCAGGAAACACACAGAGCACCUUGCCUCAGUCAGAAACAAGGGCUUGGCUGCAAAGAACAUGCAGAGGCAGUGGUUACCUGGGGUCACUGCAACUGGGGUCUGUUACAUUGAAGCACGGUUACCUACCAACAAGUUUGUCUCUGCACCACGCGAUGAAUCUAUUGAUGUAGGGGAGGAAGAUGACAAGGCCAAGAAGAAGAAAAUCAUGAAAAGACACAUAUGAACCGGUGAGAGGUAAAGUGAGCAGAACGAGGAGCACACUGUACACAGUAACAGCAAUAUUGGAAGGAUGACCUGCUGUGAAAGACUUAACUACUCUGAUCAAGAAAGUAAUCCAAGACUUCCAAAAGACCCAUGAUGAAAGAUGCUAUCCACCUCUAGAAGAGAACUGGAUGAACUGUGAAUGUAGAGUGAAGCACACUUUUUGUUGUUUUAUUUUGUUUGUACUUCCUUUCACAACAUGGCUGAUGUGAAAAAAAAAUAAUAAUGUUCUCUUAAAAAAAAAAAAGAUCUUUUUGAGUUCUAGUCCUCAAUAAGUUCUAGGGCUCAAUAAUUGGCUGUCACUAACUUACUGAGUAACACUGGGUAAGUCCCUUUCCCUUUCUGGGACUCAGUUUCC